ACUCAAAUGAAUUGACGGGGGCCCGCACAAGCGGUGGAGCAUGUGGUUUAAUUCGAUGCAACGCGAAGAACCUUACCUACCCUUGACAUCCUGCGAAGCCGGGAGAGAUUCUGGUGUGCCGAAAGGAGCGCAGAGACAGGUGCUGCAUGGCUGUCGUCAGCUCGUGUUGUGAGAUGUUGGGUUAAGUCCCGUAACGAGCGCAACCCUUGCCCCUAGUUGCCAGCAUUCAGUUGGGGACUCUAGGGGGACUGCCGGUGAGGAACCGGAGGAAGGCGGGGACGACGUCAAGUCAUCAUGGCCUUUAUGGGUAGGGCUACACACGUGCUACAAUGGGGCGUACAGAGGGUCGCGAACCCGCGAGGGGGAGCCAAUCCCGCAAAGCGCCUCGUAGUCCGGAUUGGAGUCUGCAACCCGACUCCAUGAAGUUGGAAUCGCUAGUAAUCGCGAAUCAGCAUUGUCGCGGUGAAUACGUUCCCGGGCCUUGUACACACCGCCCGU
This 498-nucleotide ribosomal RNA is filed under the name uncultured bacterium. RNAcentral describes it as "partial 16S ribosomal RNA". It matches the Rfam family "Bacterial small subunit ribosomal RNA", at positions 899 to 1397 of the family's 1533-position model. The record is from RNAcentral.